GAUGAACGCUGGCGGCGUGCUUAACACAUGCAAGUCGAACGAAACACCUUAUUUGAUUUUCUUCGGAACUGAAGAUUUGGUGAUUGAGUGGCGGACGGGUGAGUAACGCGUGGGUAACCUGCCCUGUACAGGGGGAUAACAGUCAGAAAUGACUGCUAAUACCGCAUAAGACCACAGCACCGCAUGGUGCAGGGGUAAAAACUCCGGUGGUACAGGAUGGACCCGCGUCUGAUUAGCUGGUUGGUGAGGUAACGGCUCACCAAGGCGACGAUCAGUAGCCGGCUUGAAAGAGUGAACGGCCACAUUGGGACUGAGACACGGCCCAAACUCCUACGGGAGGCAGCAGUGGGGAAUAUUGCACAAUGGGGGAAACCCUGAUGCAGCGACGCCGCGUGAGUGAAGAAGUAUUUCGGUAUGUAAAGCUCUAUCAGCAGGGAAGAAAAUGACGGUACCUGACGAAGAAGCCCCGGCUAACUACGUG
Molecule: ribosomal RNA, 481 nt
Filed under: uncultured bacterium
Lineage: Bacteria
Description: partial 16S ribosomal RNA
Rfam family: Bacterial small subunit ribosomal RNA
Source: RNAcentral